AAUUAAGUAGCAAAAUUUGCUCUAAGUUUCGACCUUAGCUGUGAGAAUUUAUUCUCCUUAAUAA
This 64-nucleotide transfer RNA is filed under the name Ambigolimax valentianus. RNAcentral describes it as "tRNA-Arg". The record is from RNAcentral. Lineage: Eukaryota; Metazoa; Mollusca; Gastropoda; Stylommatophora; Limacidae.